Molecule: ribosomal RNA, 589 nt
Filed under: bacterium 26BL
Lineage: Bacteria
Also listed under: 1 other name
Description: bacterial SSU rRNA
Rfam family: Bacterial small subunit ribosomal RNA
Source: RNAcentral
GAUGCUGACGAGUGGCGAACGGGUGAGUAAUACAUCGGAACGUGCCUAGUAGUGGGGGAUAACUACUCGAAAGAGUGGCUAAUACCGCAUGAGAUCUACGGAUGAAAGCAGGGGAUCGCAAGACCUUGUGCUACUAGAGCGGCUGAUGGCAGAUUAGGUAGUUGGUGGGAUAAAAGCUUACCAAGCCGACGAUCUGUAGCUGGUCUGAGAGGACGAUCAGCCACACUGGGACUGAGACACGGCCCAGACUCCUACGGGAGGCAGCAGUGGGGAAUUUUGGACAAUGGGCGAAAGCCUGAUCCAGCAAUGCCGCGUGCAGGAUGAAGGCCUUCGGGUUGUAAACUGCUUUUGUACGGAACGAAAAGCUUCGGGCUAAUACCCUGGAGCCAUGACGGUACCGUAAGAAUAAGCACCGGCUAACUACGUGCCAGCAGCCGCGGUAAUACGUAGGGUGCAAGCGUUAAUCGGAAUUACUGGGCGUAAAGCGUGCGCAGGCGGUUUUGUAAGACAGAGGUGAAAUCCCCGGGCUCAACCUGGGAACUGCCUUUGUGACUGCAAGGCUAGAGUACGGCAGAGGGGGAUGGAAUUC